Molecule: ribosomal RNA, 253 nt
Filed under: uncultured bacterium
Lineage: Bacteria
Description: partial 16S ribosomal RNA
Rfam family: Bacterial small subunit ribosomal RNA
Source: RNAcentral
UACGAAGGGGGCUAGCGUUGUUCGGAAUUACUGGGCGUAAAGCGCGCGCAGGUGGUCUUUCAAGUCAGUGGUGAAAGCCCGGAGCUCAACUCCGGAAAUGCCAUUGAAACUGUGAGACUUGAGGACGAGAGAGGUGAGUGGAAUUCCCAGUGUAGAGGUGAAAUUCGUAGAUAUUGGGAAGAACACCGGUGGCGAAGGCGGCUCACUGGCUCGUUUCUGACGCUCAGGCGCGAAAGCGUGGGGAUCAAACAGG